Molecule: ribosomal RNA, 253 nt
Filed under: uncultured bacterium
Lineage: Bacteria
Description: partial 16S ribosomal RNA
Rfam family: Bacterial small subunit ribosomal RNA
Source: RNAcentral
UACGUAGGGUGCGAGCGUUAAUCGGAAUUACUGGGCGUAAAGCGUGCGCAGGCGGUUUUGGAAGACAGAGGUGAAAUCCCCGGGCUCAACCUGGGAACUGCCUUUGUGACUGCAAGGCUUGAGUGCGGCAGAGGGGGAUGGAAUUCCGCGUGUAGCAGUGAAAUGCGUAGAUAUGCGGAGGAACACCGAUGGCGAAGGCAAUCCCCUGGGCCUGCACUGACGCUCAUGCACGAAAGCGUGGGGAGCAAACAGG